GUAGGUGGCAAGCGUUGUCCGGAAUUAUUGGGCGUAAAGCGCGCGCGGGCGGUUCUUUAAGUCUGAUGUGAAAGCCCACGGGCUCAACCGUGGAGGGUCAUUGGAAACUGGAGAACUUGAGUACAGAAGAGGAAAGCGGAAUUCCACGUGUAGCGGUGAAAUGCGUAGAGAUGUGGAGGAACACCAGUGGCGAAGGCGGCUUUCUGGUCUGUAACUGACGCUGAGGCGCGAAAGCGUGGGGAGCAAACAGGAUUAGAUACCCUGGUAGUCCACGCCGUAAACGAUGAGUGCUAAGUGUUAGGGGGUUUCCGCCCCUUAGUGCUGCAGCUAACGCAUUAAGCACUCCGCCUGGGGAGUACGGCCGCAAGGCUG
Molecule: ribosomal RNA, 372 nt
Filed under: uncultured organism
Description: partial 16S ribosomal RNA
Rfam family: Bacterial small subunit ribosomal RNA
Source: RNAcentral